RNAcentral lists this ribosomal RNA (253 nucleotides) under uncultured bacterium. RNAcentral's name for it is "partial 16S ribosomal RNA". It matches the Rfam family "Bacterial small subunit ribosomal RNA", at positions 524 to 776 of the family's 1533-position model. The record is from RNAcentral.
UACGUAGGGUGCAAGCGUUGUCCGGAAUUAUUGGGCGUAAAGAGCUCGUAGGCGGUCUGUCGCGUCUGCUGUGAAAACUCAGGGCUUAACCCUGGGCUUGCAGUGGGUACGGGCAGACUAGAGUGCGGUAGGGGAGACUGGAAUUCCUGGUGUAGCGGUGAAAUGCGCAGAUAUCAGGAGGAACACCGGUGGCGAAGGCGGGUCUCUGGGCCGUAACUGGCGCUGAGGAGCGAAAGCAUGGGGAGCGAACAGG